UAGGGAAUCUUCCGCAAUGUGCGAAAGCCUGCCGGAGCAACGCCGCGUGAGUGAUGAAGGUCUUCGGAUCGUAAAACUCUGUUAUUAGGGAAGAACAAAUGUGUAAGUAACUAUGCACGUCUUGACGGUACCUAAUCAGAAAGCCACGGCUAACUACGUGCCAGCAGCCGCGGUAAUACGUAGGUGGCAAGCGUUAUCCGGAAUUAUUGGGCGUAAAGCGCGCGUAGGCGGUUUUUUAAGUCUGAUGUGAAAGCCCACGGCUCAACCGUGGAGGGUCAUUGGAAACUGGAAAACUUGAGUGCAGAAGAGGAAAGUGGAAUUCCAUGUGUAGCGGUGAAAUGCGCAGAGAUAUGGAGGAACACCAGUGGCGAAGGCGACUUUCUGGUCUGUAACUGACGCUGAUGUGCGAAAGCGUGGGGAUCAAACAGG
RNAcentral lists this ribosomal RNA (429 nucleotides) under Actinomycetes bacterium. RNAcentral's name for it is "Actinobacteria bacterium partial 16S ribosomal RNA". It matches the Rfam family "Bacterial small subunit ribosomal RNA", at positions 355 to 776 of the family's 1533-position model. The record is from RNAcentral. Lineage: Bacteria; Bacillati; Actinomycetota; Actinomycetes.